CGACCGGCGCACGGGUGAGUAACACGUAUCCAACCUGCCGUCUACUCUUGGACAGCCUUCUGAAAGAAAGAUUAAUACCCGAUAGCAUAAUGAUUCCGCAUGGUUUCAUUAUUAAAGGAUUCCGGUAAAGGAUGGGGAUGCGUUCCAUUAGGUUGUUGGUGAGGUAACGGCUCACCAAGCCUUCGAUGGAUAGGGGUUCUGAGAGGAAGGUCCCCCACAUUGGAACUGAGACACGGUCCAA
RNAcentral lists this ribosomal RNA (241 nucleotides) under uncultured bacterium. RNAcentral's name for it is "partial 16S ribosomal RNA". It matches the Rfam family "Bacterial small subunit ribosomal RNA", at positions 92 to 334 of the family's 1533-position model. The record is from RNAcentral.